RNAcentral lists this ribosomal RNA (237 nucleotides) under uncultured bacterium. RNAcentral's name for it is "partial 16S ribosomal RNA". It matches the Rfam family "Bacterial small subunit ribosomal RNA", at positions 524 to 758 of the family's 1533-position model. The record is from RNAcentral.
UACGGAGGGUGCGAGCGUUGUCCGGAAUUACUGGGCGUAAAGGGCGCGUAGGCGGCCUUCUAAGUCGAACGUGAAAUCCCCCGGGCUCAACCCGGGGAACUGCGUCCGAUACUGGAAGGCUUGAAUCCGGGAGAGGGAUGCGGAAUUCCAGGUGUAGCGGUGAAAUGCGUAGAUAUCUGGAGGAACACCGGUGGCGAAGGCGGCAUCCUGGACCAACACUGACACCGAGGAGCGAAG